This 289-nucleotide long non-coding RNA is filed under the name Amborella trichopoda. RNAcentral's name for it is "long non-coding RNA (ATRI_LNC002226)". The record is from RNAcentral. Lineage: Eukaryota; Viridiplantae; Streptophyta; Magnoliopsida; Amborellales; Amborellaceae.
AGAACAAAAAUCCAUAGAGGACUCAAAAUUUGAAUGGGGUUCCUAUGAGUCAGGCGUCUCGUAUUACACAUGUUCCCCUCUCUAAAACCCAUCUCAAAGAUGGAUUUUUUUAUCUAAAUUGUUUAGAAUUCAUGAUCUAAGUCAAGGUGGUCAUGAAUAUGAAAAAUAAAAGAAGGUUUUUUAGAAUUGAAAAUGUAAUUUUUUGGAAUUUUUUUACUCCAUCCAUAUGUUAUUUAUAUCUGGUGGACUUUACAGAAUGUCCAUCUUUAAGAUGGAUGUUCGUGGGUUA